UGUCCUAGGCCCAGGCUCUGUCCCUGUCCCGUGCCACCACGCCCCGGGGGGCAGAAGAGCCGCCAGCUGUCCCCACCGCGCUGCAGGAGGCGCAGCAGCGUCUGGCCUUCUCUAACCUCGUCCAGAUUCCUGCUCAGCUGUGAGUCCGGCAUUCUCUGUCCUAUUGGAAAGAAGAUCAAAGAUCGUUCACAGUGCUCGCCCUUCUCGAGUGGAAAGCUUUUACUCCAUGUGGAGCCGGAAGAAAGUUCUAGGGAAUUAGCGCCUCUCUCCACGAAAUCCACUUGGCGGGACAUUCCCAAUACUUACUGAGUCUUAGGCCCCCCGCCCCCCUCCAUACUGCCUUAGUAUCAAGCGCCUACUAUGACAGACAUCUGGCGAGACAGCCAGGAGGAGGAGAGAAAAUAUUAGGCAGGCAUCCCCUCCACCUGAACCACCUGGACUGGGCGUGCCUGUAGGGCCCAGAUUCAAACCCCACCACUCUGAGGCCGCGCCCUGCCCUUUCCUGAACCCCAGCUCCCUCAAAACUGCCUCAAACUGGCUCUAGAGCGCUAGGGUUUAUCCAAAAGUGAAUUGUUAUUCUGACCCCAGGAAGUCACAUGAGACUUGCUGGUGGACCUGGGCUAUUGGAAGUGAGAAGCAAGGCCUCCUUGUAGGAUCUUUUUUAAAAAAUUUUCUUUAUUGAUUAAGGUAUUACAUAUGUGUCCUUAUCCCCACAUUACCCCCAUCCUCCCCUCCACUCAUGCCCUCACUCCCCUGUUGUCUGUGUCCAUUGGUUAGGCCUAUAUGCAUGCAUGUAAGUCCUUUGGUUGAUCUCUCCCCCUUACCCCCACCCUCCCCUACCUUCCCUCUGAGGUUUGACGGUCUAAUCGAUGCUUCUCUGUCUCUGGAUCUGUUUUUGUUCAUCAGUUUAUGUUGUUCAUUAUAAUCCACAAAUAAGUGAGAUCAUGUGGUAUUUAUCUUUCUCUGACUGGCUUAUUUCACUUAGCAUAAUGCUCUCCAGUUCCAUCCAUGCUUUUGCAAAUGGUAAUAACUCCUUUUUUUUUUUUACCGCAGUGUAGUAUUCCAUUGUGUAGAUGUACCACAGUUUUCUAAUCCACUACUGAUAGGCCCUUAGGCUGUUUCCAAAUCUUAGCUAUGGUGAAUUGUGCUGCUAUGAACAUAGGGGUGCAUAUAUCCUUUCUAACUGGUGUUUCCAGUUUCUUGGGAUAUAUUCCUAGAAGUGGGAUCACUGGGUCAAAUGGGAGUUCCAUUUUUAGUUUUUUGAGGAAACUCCAUACAGUGGCUGUACCAGUCUGCAUUCCCACCAGCAGUGCAUGAGGGUUCCUCGCCAACACUUGUUUGUUGAUUUGUUGAUGAUAGCCAUUCUGACAGGUGUGAGAUGGUACCACAUUGUCAUUUUGAUUUGCAUCAGAUAAUUAGUGACUUUGAGCAUGUUUUCAUAUGUCUCUUGGCCUUUCUUCUGUCUUCUUUCAAAGAGUAUCCAUUUAGGUCCAUUGCCCAUUUUUUUAUUGGGUUGUUUAUCUUAACACUCAUCAUUUCCUAGUGCUUAGGGCCAGGCACAAGGAGGAUGAUAGCACAGUCGUUAAAAGAGAGCCCAAAAUGGGGAGAACUGAAUGGAUUACUACGCGCUAAAUCACCCCCCUCCCCCAAUUAUUUUAAAUACUACAGUGCUGUGACAGGAAUGACCGGGGAUGUAUUCCACCCCUGGAACUCUGCGGGGGAUCCUGCCCCUGCCCCGGGCAGUGGUGGGAUCCCAGGUCCUGGAGGAGAAGCCCUUCUUAGGGAAUUGCCUUUCUGGUUCUGGAGAGAGGGAGCACUACUUGGACCAGUCCUAGGGCUCUCACUGGGCAGGGGCAGCAUGCCCAGGAAGGGAGGCGAAGCCCCGCUGGUCUGGGCCGGGACUCCAUGGAAUAUGACCCUGUCUCAAGAGCAGAUGAUCCCAGUCUUGACUGAAAGUGAAGUUUGAACGCCUUUUUCUCUGUAAACCAGGUUGGCCAGGUCGAUACCUCUAAUGGUAACGUGAGACAAGUCUCUCCACCAUCGCUUGGUUGUAUUUGAGCAACAAAGGAUGAUCUUAUUAGAAGCAUUUUAAAAAUAGAACCAUGGGACCAUUCCUGCCCCCACCCACUGAAUGAGAUCACUAAACCACACCUAAUCUUCUGGGAACUAAGUAUUAGCCUGACUUCCUACAUAGAGGUCUUCCUAAGAGAGCUGCAUUUUAGGGGGCUGGUGAGAUGGUUGCUCCAGCAGGGUUCUCGCUGGCUGUUGAGGACUUAUGCAAUAGCAGAUUUCAUCUAGCAGGAUGAAUUAAGAGGUGUUACUCAAAACAUUUUAAAACUCUAAGAUUGGAUCUCAUGGCUCAGAGAGGCUGAAAAAAAGAGAACUAAAAAGGAAAAAAAAAUUUGCAGACUGCUUGCAUUUUUCUUGAUCAGUACUGUUGACAUGGGCUUACAAAAGCGAUCCUGUUCUUUUAAGAGAGCUAGCAAAGUGAGGUUUAAACUGGCCAACUAGAAGACACCUGAGCCAGAGUGCACAGCAGAAUGAGUUACUCAAGAAGUCAUGGUAAAGUACAUUACAAAACAGCUCUCUUGAAGCUGUUCCCAGGAAACAAAAUGCACUUUAAAAUAAGUUGUGACUAGUGCCAGUUUACCUAAAGAGGUUUUCUCCGCCUACAGGUAGGGACAGUAAUGGGUUUGUAAUCUGUAGUUUGGAAAUCAGGACUUAUUUACUCAUGGAAUGAAUGGCAGAUUGCCUGGACAGUGCAUUGGCCUAUGGAACCUCAAAUGGGACACUACAUUAAUAAAUAUAACAUAGGAUAUUGCUUUUCAAUCUUUUUCAUAUUUGUAAAAUACACAAUGUUUUAGAGAAUCCUGAGAUAAAUUGGAAUAAAUUAGGGUAUACAUAUUGUGAAUUGUUGAAAAAAUGUGUUCAAUUUUCUUAAAUUAUAACAAUAAAAUGCAAAGUAUUAGAGGAAAAUAAUUAAAUACUAAGUUUGAAUAAAGCUUUAAAUAA
This is a long non-coding RNA of Myotis daubentonii (Daubenton's bat), 3012 nucleotides long. RefSeq lists it as uncharacterized. The record is from RefSeq and is a predicted model, not a curated record. Lineage: Eukaryota; Metazoa; Chordata; Mammalia; Chiroptera; Vespertilionidae.